Molecule: ribosomal RNA, 504 nt
Filed under: uncultured bacterium
Lineage: Bacteria
Description: partial 16S ribosomal RNA
Rfam family: Bacterial small subunit ribosomal RNA
Source: RNAcentral
GACGAACGCUGGCGGCGUGCUUAACACAUGCAAGUCGAACGGUGAAGCGCUUGCCUUUUUGGUGGGUGUGGAUGAGUGGCGAACGGGUGAGUAACACGUGAGUAACCUGCCCUCUUCUUCUGGAUAACCUCAUGAAAGUGGGGCUAAUACGGGGUAUUCCGGGUCUGUCGCAUGGCGGGUUUGGGAAAGAUUGCGCCUUUGGGUGUUUUCGGUGGGGGAUGGGCUCGCGGCCUAUCAGCUUGGUGGUGGGGUGAUGGCCUACCAAGGCGGUGACGGGUAGCCGGCCUGAGAGGGUGGACGGCCACACUGGGACUGAGACACGGCCCAGAAUCCUGCGGGAGGCAGCAGUGGGGAAGAUUGCACAAUGGGCGCAAGCCUGAUGCAGCGACGCCGCGUGAGGGAUGGAGGCCUUCGGGUUGUGAACCUCUUUCGCCAGUGAAGCAGGCCUGCUCCUGUGUGGGUGGGUUGACGGUAGCUGGAUAAGAAGCGCCGGCUAACUACGUG